This 696-nucleotide ribosomal RNA is filed under the name Heptacarpus sitchensis. RNAcentral describes it as "SSU rRNA". It matches the Rfam family "Eukaryotic small subunit ribosomal RNA", at positions 621 to 1273 of the family's 1831-position model. Lineage: Eukaryota; Metazoa; Arthropoda; Malacostraca; Decapoda; Hippolytidae. The record is from RNAcentral.
AAAAAGCUCGUAGUCCGAGCUCAGUUCCGGACUGGCCGGGGAGGUCACCGCCCGGUGCCUUGCCUGGGCCAGGCUCCGAACCAAUGCCCCCGGUCUCCGGGGGCGACACGCCGGUGCUCGCCGGGGUGCUCUUGACCGAGUGUCCCGCGCGGCCGGCCAGUUCACCUUGAAUAAAUGAGAGUGCUCAAAGCAGGCUACUCUUGAAACCUAAAGCCCGAAUGUUACCUGCAUGGAAUGAUGGAAGAUGAUCUCGGUUCCAUUUUAUUGGGGGUGGGAAUCCGAGUUAAUGAUAAACAGGGACUGUCGGGGGCAUCCGUACUACGACGCGAGAGGUGAAAUUCAGUGACCGUCGUAGGACGAACGACAGCGAAAGCAUUUGCCAAGAAUGUCUUCGUUGAUCAAGAACGAAAGUUAGAGGAUCGAAGGCGAUCAGAUACCGCCCUAGUUCUAACCCUAAACGAUGCUGACUAGCAAUUCGCCGUCGUUAUUCCCAUGACGUGGCGAGACGCCCCCGGGAAACCUCAAGUCUUUGAGUUCCGGGGGUAGUAUGGUUGCAAAACUGAAACUUAAAGGAAUUGACGGAAGGGCACCACCAGGAGUGGAGCCUGCGGCUUAAUUUGACUCAACACGGGGAACCUCACCAGGCCCGGACACCAGAAGGAUUGACAGACCAAGAGCUCUUUCUCGAUUUGGUGG